Molecule: long non-coding RNA, 267 nt
Organism: Gorilla gorilla gorilla (western lowland gorilla)
Lineage: Eukaryota; Metazoa; Chordata; Mammalia; Primates; Hominidae
Exons: 3
Source: RefSeq, a predicted model, not a curated record
UGCCAACUGCCACAUUGUGGGGACAUUCAAGCACUAUGGAGGGGUCUACAGAGCGAGGAAGUGGAUCCACUAUGAAAGUGGAUUCUCCCAGUCUCAGUUGAGCCUUCAGGAGGACACAAUGAGAAUGCUGCAGCUGGUCCCCAUGACUCCCACCCCUGUGCUAGCGGACGCAGUUCAAGCCGUAGCCCCAAAGAGAAACAGGCAGAAGCAGAGAAGAGCCACUCCAUUUGUCUUUAGAAUCUUCACCUUGGGAAGCAAAGUGCAGGC